AGACCUAUAUGGUCCACACAUGGAGAUGCUGCCUCAAAAAUCACCAUCUUUAGAAGCACAACCUGGGAUGUGAAUUUUGUACUUAUCUUCCCAUCAAGAAUCAUUUUUCUUGAAUCAAGAGCCACCAGAAAUAUGUCAUUUGUGUGUGCACAUAGGCAACCAUUCUCCCUUUGUAAUUUUGGAAGGUCUUCUGGACAGGUUAAAACUGAUUUGCACCAUU
This 220-nucleotide long non-coding RNA is filed under the name Mus caroli (Ryukyu mouse). Its description in RNAcentral is "lncRNA (MGP_CAROLIEiJ_G0004512.1)". The record is from RNAcentral. Lineage: Eukaryota; Metazoa; Chordata; Mammalia; Rodentia; Muridae.